ACACAAUAAUGUUAUUAUAACUCUAUUCAAUUACAGUCCUAUUCCAUUAGAGUGAAUCAAAAGUACCCUAAUUCCCUUAGCUAUCACCACCUCCACAACACUAAGAUAAACCACUUUUUUACCCUAAGUGCCGCUCACCACCUCCAUGGCUCCACCAGUGACCUCUAGCGUUGCUGCCUGUCUGUCCGUCUACUCGUCCCGCUCUAGCCCAUCAACGUUGCUUUUUCUGUCCUACUUCUUGCUUCUUCCUGUCAUUGCUUCCUGCUUCUUCUUGCUUCCUUUGUCACCACUGAUGCUUCCUUUGUCACCUUAUCUGCUCUAGCCUUCAGUCAUCGCCGUCAUCGUCCCACUAGUUUGCUCGCCCUGUCCGGUUUCCCAAUUGUCUGUUCGAGCCGGGUUGAUCGAGUCGGACGGUGGGAAGUUCGUGGACCUCCACGUGGCGAAGCCAGAGCGGAGGUUGAAGAAGCGAGAAGCGGCUCUGUUGCCCAGGGUGAAGCUGAGCAGGAUCGACUUGCAAUGGGUCCAUGUUUUGAGUGAGGGCUGGGUAAGCCCCCUCACCGGGUUCAUGAGAGAAUUCGAGCUCCUCCAAACUCUUCAUUUUAACUCGCUCUGACUCAGCAAUGAUUCUUUCGUCAACAUUUCGAUGCCGAUUGUGUUGGCGAUUGAUGAUUCUCAAAAGAAGAGGAUUGCUAAGUCCAACAGAGUCACGCUCGUUGACUCGGAUGAUAACCCCGUAGCGAUCCUCAACAAAUAAGUCAAUGAAGUCCUAAUAUAGAAAUAAUGUAAUGGUAACUGUGCUUUUCUUCAACUUUCUUCACAUUUUUCUUUGUUGUUUAAUUGGAUAUAUAUAUACACUUUUUUUCAUAGUUUCAUGUGAUUAUUUUUGGGGUUUUUUUUUAAAAAAUUUUGUGGUUGGAAUUUUCAAUAUAGUAAAGAUUUUUGAAAUUGAUUCUUUUAAUGUUUAGCUUAAAGUUCUUAAAUUUUUUACUUUUUUUAUUAUGAUUUUUUCAAAUUUGAUAUAUUGCUCAUUUGCUAUGAUUUCAUGUUUUAUAUAGAAAUUAUAGAUCCCUUUGAUUUGAUUUUAUAUGAACCAGUAUUCUAGAUUUAGAAAGCUCCCCUGCCUUUUGAUGAUAUUUAAUAAAAUUGGGGAUGGGGGAAUACGAGUGAAGAAGAGGCGGCUCAGCGCUGGCCUCCAACCGUUUGUAACCCUCAUGAUACGAUCCUCGACGAAUGCGGCAUUUUCCUUGGUCCAUGAUCCCAGUGAAAGUUGUUCGAUUAAAGCUUGUCUGAAUGUAGGUCAUCAGCGUAAUGUUUUUGGUUGUUUGAUUGUAGGACACAAACGAGACUAUCGUGUAUCAUAGGUGUCUGGUUGGAUUCGAUAACUAUGCGGCCUUAUUGUUUGUUUCCUUAAUGUAUUUAGUGUAUUUAAUAUAUUUAAAAUUUAUUUUAUGUAAUAAAAUAUUUUUUAAAAUAAAAAAAUGA
Long non-coding RNA from Gossypium arboreum, 1482 nucleotides. RefSeq lists it as uncharacterized. Lineage: Eukaryota; Viridiplantae; Streptophyta; Magnoliopsida; Malvales; Malvaceae. The record is from RefSeq and is a predicted model, not a curated record. The transcript is spliced from 2 exons.